CACAUGGAUAUCCUCGAAGAAAGUGACAAAGACAGCGAAGUUUGGCCGUCUGGGAAGCGGAGACCAACGGGGCUGACUACCUGGGAGCACCGAGACUCCGGACAGCGCCUCUCGGGGACCAAGAAGGGUACGGCGAUCUGCUUCAGCACCACGGCUCCGGACAGCUCCCGGAGGCUUUCCGGAGCCCACUUAAUUUCAGCACGAGGAAACCGGUCAGCUUCCUGGUGAGAUGGCCAGUCGGUAGGACCGUGGGGGGACACGCGGCUGCCAUUGCUGUGCUCUUUCCAGACUUCUGUGAGAAGCAUUGUGCCAAGCGUCUUAUAUACAUUAUAUCACGCCAUCAUUCAACCCUA
Suricata suricatta (meerkat) is the source of this 353-nucleotide long non-coding RNA. RefSeq lists it as uncharacterized. The record is from RefSeq and is a predicted model, not a curated record. Lineage: Eukaryota; Metazoa; Chordata; Mammalia; Carnivora; Herpestidae. The transcript is spliced from 3 exons.